GUGAGUGGGCCUUGGACCAUGAA
Molecule: non-coding RNA, 23 nt
Filed under: Arabidopsis thaliana (thale cress)
Lineage: Eukaryota; Viridiplantae; Streptophyta; Magnoliopsida; Brassicales; Brassicaceae
Source: RNAcentral